RNAcentral lists this ribosomal RNA (468 nucleotides) under uncultured bacterium. Its description in RNAcentral is "partial 16S ribosomal RNA". It matches the Rfam family "Bacterial small subunit ribosomal RNA", at positions 28 to 507 of the family's 1533-position model. The record is from RNAcentral.
GACGAACGCUGGCGGCGUGCUUAACACAUGCAAGUCGAACGGAAAGGCCCUGCUUUUGUGGGGUGCUCGAGUGGCGAACGGGUGAGUAACACGUGAGUAACCUGCCCUUGACUUUGGGAUAACUUCAGGAAACUGGGGCUAAUACCGGAUAGGAGCUCCUGCUGCAUGGUGGGGGUUGGAAAGUGUCGGCGGUUGGGGAUGGACUCGCGGCUUAUCAGCUUGUUGGUGGGGUAGUGGCUUACCAAGGCUUUGAAGGGUAGCAGGCCUGGGAGGGUGACCGGCCACAUUGGGACUGAGAUACGGCCCAGACUCCUACGGGAGGCAGCAGUGGGGAAUAUUGCACAAUGGGCGGAAGCCUGAUGCAGCAACGCCGCGUGCGGGAUGACGGCCUUCGGGUUGUAAACCGCUUUCGCCUGUGACGAAGCGUGAGUGACGGUAAUGGGUAAAGAAGCACCGGCUAACUACGUG